CCGACGCCACUAUCUCGCGCCCCAGCGCGAGAAUUGUGGUCUGAGUCGAACAAUUUUGACCUCCUGUAGUACAACGACCAUAACCUUUUCAUACAAACUCCGAUUGAGGUGAUUCAAGAUGAUCCGGAAAGAAGACGAAUAGAACUACAAAUUUUGUUUUUAAGUGUUUCAAUUUGAGGUCGGUAUCAGGGGUCAAAAUGAUCAUUUGUGGGACUGAUAUGUAUUAGGAGGCAAUCGGUGGGCGUCGAGAAUGCACUUAUGCAAAUGUAGUGCUCAUGAUGAUAAAAGAUGUUGUCG
Molecule: long non-coding RNA, 297 nt
Filed under: Panax ginseng (ginseng)
Lineage: Eukaryota; Viridiplantae; Streptophyta; Magnoliopsida; Apiales; Araliaceae
Description: long non-coding RNA (PGIN_LNC002657)
Source: RNAcentral